CGAAUCAUGGGCGAUGGGGUUCGCCUGAACGGCAGCGGUGUUUGAUAUGACACCGGAUGAUGAUGACCCCUACUUUAAA
Molecule: non-coding RNA, 79 nt
Filed under: Leptospirillum ferrooxidans
Lineage: Bacteria; Pseudomonadati; Nitrospirota; Nitrospiria; Nitrospirales; Nitrospiraceae
Also listed under: 1 other name
Description: Fluoride sequence
Rfam family: Fluoride riboswitch aptamer (crcB RNA motif)
Source: RNAcentral